RNAcentral lists this ribosomal RNA (448 nucleotides) under Clitaetra sp. LB-2014a. RNAcentral's name for it is "partial 16S ribosomal RNA". It matches the Rfam family "Bacterial large subunit ribosomal RNA", at positions 1830 to 2600 of the family's 2925-position model. The record is from RNAcentral. Lineage: Eukaryota; Metazoa; Arthropoda; Arachnida; Araneae; Nephilidae.
UUUUAAUAAUAAAUUAUUAUUAGUAUAACCUGCUCAAUGUAAUAUAAAUAGCCGCAGGAUUUUUACUGUGCUAAGGUAGCGUAAUCAUUAGCCUUUUAAUUGAAGGCUUGUAUGAAAGGUUAAACAUUUUAAUUUCUUUCUUAUUUAUAAAUUUAUAAUUUAUAUUAAAUAUAAAAAUAUAUUUAUAAAUUAAUUAGACGACAAGACCCUAUUGAACUUUACUGAAGUUUAACUGGGGAAGUUAAUUAAAUAAAAUUUUAAUUUUAAAUAAUUUUUUAAAGAUCCAAUAUCAUUGAAUACAUGAAUUAAGUUACCAUAGGGAUAACAGCAUAAUUUAUUUUUAAAGUUCUUAUUAAAAAAAAAGAUUGUGACCUCGAUGUUGAAUUAAUGUUUCAUUUAUUAUGCAAUAAUAUAAAAUGUAGGUCUGUUCGACCUUUAAAACACUACA